RNAcentral lists this ribosomal RNA (274 nucleotides) under uncultured bacterium. RNAcentral's name for it is "partial 16S ribosomal RNA". It matches the Rfam family "Bacterial small subunit ribosomal RNA", at positions 523 to 796 of the family's 1533-position model. The record is from RNAcentral.
AUACGGAGGGUGCGAGCGUUAAUCGGAAUUACUGGGCGUAAAGCGUACGUAGGCGGUUGGUUAAGUUAGAUGUGAAAGCCCCGGGCUUAACCUGGGAACUGCAUUUAAAACUGGCGAACUAGAGUUGAGUAGAGGGGAGUGGAAUUUCAGGUGUAGCGGUGAAAUGCGUAGAGAUCUGAAGGAACACCAGUGGCGAAGGCGACUCCCUGGACUCGAACUGACGCUGAGGUACGAAAGCGUGGGUAGCAAACAGGAUUAGAAACCCGAGUAGUCC